AUGGAUUUGUGGCUCAUGUGGCUUUUCCUUGUUUCUCCUUUAAAAGGUAUCCCGUGUGAAACGCAGCUGGUGGAGUCUGGGGGUGGCCUGAUACAGCCUGGGGGAUCCCUGAGACUCUCCUGUGCAGUCUCUGGAUUCACAUUCAGUGACUCAUGUAUAAGCUGGUUCCGACAGGCUCCAGGGAAGGGGCUGGAGUUGGCACUGGAAUGGAUUGCAAUGAGUAGAAACAAAAAUAAUGGUUGCACAACAGAUUAUAGCGCAUCUGUGAAGAGCGGGUACACCAUCUCCAGAGAGGAUUCCAAAAACAUCCUCUUCCUUCAAAUGAACAGCCUGAAAGGUGAGGACACAGCCACUUACUACUGUGCAAGAGACAGGCACAGUGAAGGGACUUCAUUGUGA
This is a non-coding RNA of Peromyscus leucopus (white-footed mouse), 399 nucleotides long. Lineage: Eukaryota; Metazoa; Chordata; Mammalia; Rodentia; Cricetidae. The record is from the annotation of a RefSeq genome assembly.